This 1226-nucleotide ribosomal RNA is filed under the name Salmonella enterica subsp. enterica serovar 4,[5],12:i:-. Its description in RNAcentral is "partial 23S ribosomal RNA". It matches the Rfam family "Bacterial large subunit ribosomal RNA", at positions 1734 to 2925 of the family's 2925-position model. The record is from RNAcentral. Lineage: Bacteria; Pseudomonadati; Pseudomonadota; Gammaproteobacteria; Enterobacterales; Enterobacteriaceae.
CUUCGGGAGAAGGCACGCUGACACGUAGGUGAAGUGAUUUACUCAUGGAGCUGAAGUCAGUCGAAGAUACCAGCUGGCUGCAACUGUUUAUUAAAAACACAGCACUGUGCAAACACGAAAGUGGACGUAUACGGUGUGACGCCUGCCCGGUGCCGGAAGGUUAAUUGAUGGGGUCAGCGCAAGCGAAGCUCCUGAUCGAAGCCCCGGUAAACGGCGGCCGUAACUAUAACGGUCCUAAGGUAGCGAAAUUCCUUGUCGGGUAAGUUCCGACCUGCACGAAUGGCGUAAUGAUGGCCAGGCUGUCUCCACCCGAGACUCAGUGAAAUUGAACUCGCUGUGAAGAUGCAGUGUACCCGCGGCAAGACGGAAAGACCCCGUGAACCUUUACUAUAGCUUGACACUGAACAUUGAGCCUUGAUGUGUAGGAUAGGUGGGAGGCUUUGAAGUGUGGACGCCAGUCUGCAUGGAGCCGACCUUGAAAUACCACCCUUUAAUGUUUGAUGUUCUAACGUGGACCCGUAAUCCGGGUUGCGGACAGUGUCUGGUGGGUAGUUUGACUGGGGCGGUCUCCUCCUAAAGAGUAACGGAGGAGCACGAAGGUUGGCUAAUCCUGGUCGGACAUCAGGAGGUUAGUGCAAUGGCAUAAGCCAGCUUGACUGCGAGCGUGACGGCGCGAGCAGGUGCGAAAGCAGGUCAUAGUGAUCCGGUGGUUCUGAAUGGAAGGGCCAUCGCUCAACGGAUAAAAGGUACUCCGGGGAUAACAGGCUGAUACCGCCCAAGAGUUCAUAUCGACGGCGGUGUUUGGCACCUCGAUGUCGGCUCAUCACAUCCUGGGGCUGAAGUAGGUCCCAAGGGUAUGGCUGUUCGCCAUUUAAAGUGGUACGCGAGCUGGGUUUAGAACGUCGUGAGACAGUUCGGUCCCUAUCUGCCGUGGGCGCUGGAGAACUGAGGGGGGCUGCUCCUAGUACGAGAGGACCGGAGUGGACGCAUCACUGGUGUUCGGGUUGUCAUGCCAAUGGCACUGCCCGGUAGCUAAAUGCGGAAGAGAUAAGUGCUGAAAGCAUCUAAGCACGAAACUUGCCCCGAGAUGAGUUCUCCCUGAGACUUAGAGUCUCCUGAAGGAACGUUGAAGACGACGACGUUGAUAGGCCGGGUGUGUAAGCGCAGCGAUGCGUUGAGCUAACCGGUACUAAUGAACCGUGAGGCUUAACCUUACAACGCCGAAG